This 411-nucleotide ribosomal RNA is filed under the name Triticum aestivum (bread wheat). RNAcentral describes it as "partial small subunit ribosomal RNA". Lineage: Eukaryota; Viridiplantae; Streptophyta; Magnoliopsida; Poales; Poaceae. The record is from RNAcentral.
ACAUUGUUUGCAGGCUCAGAUGCUGAUGACAUGGAGCACGGCGAAUUGGAAGACUCAAGUCAAAAUACCUAUGUCGACCAUGAUCCAUUGGACUAUGUCUACUCAAACCUCCCAGACCACACACACAUCCUGAAGCACGCCGCAAAUUGCGAUCAGUGCAAGGCCAAGAAGUUUGUGUCCGAGGCCCCGGGAUUCUGCUGUCGCAGUGGGCAGAUCCAACUGAAGCAACCGGAGCCCAUCCCGGAGCUAAUGAGGCUUUGGUCUAGCAUGGAUGCGGACUCAAGGCAUUUUCGGGAGAACAUACGGUUCUUCAAUGGCCACUCCUUCACAACCCUCGGAGUCAGCCUUGAUGAAAGCUACACAAACAUGAAGUCUGGGGUGUACACGUUCCGGGCGCAUGGAACCAUCUAC